Molecule: ribosomal RNA, 253 nt
Filed under: uncultured bacterium
Lineage: Bacteria
Description: partial 16S ribosomal RNA
Rfam family: Bacterial small subunit ribosomal RNA
Source: RNAcentral
GACAGAGGGUGCAAACGUUGUUCGGAAUUACUGGGCGUAAAGCGUGUGUAGGCGGCUAGGUAAGUCGGAUGUGAAAGCCCCGGGCUCAACUCGGGAAGUGCACUCGAUACUGCUUAGCUCGAGUACCGGAGAGGUUGGUGGAAUUCUCGGUGUAGAGGUGAAAUUCGUAGAUAUCGAGAGGAACACCGGUGGCGAAGGCGGCCAACUGGACGAGUACUGACGCUGAGGCGCGAAAGCUAGGGGAGCAAACAGG